UACGUAGGGAGCAAGCGUUAUCCGGAUUUACUGGGUGUAAAGGGCGUGCAGGCGGGCUGGUAAGUUGGGAGUGAAAUCCCGGGGCUUAACCCCGGAACUGCUUUCAAAACUGCUGGUCUUGAGUGAUGGAGAGGCAGGCGGAAUUCCCAGUGUAGCGGUGAAAUGCGUAGAUAUUGGGAGGAACACCAGUGGCGAAGGCGGCCUGCUGGACAUUAACUGACGCUGAGGCGCGAAAGCGUGGGGAGCAAACAGG
This 253-nucleotide ribosomal RNA is filed under the name uncultured bacterium. Its description in RNAcentral is "partial 16S ribosomal RNA". It matches the Rfam family "Bacterial small subunit ribosomal RNA", at positions 524 to 776 of the family's 1533-position model. The record is from RNAcentral.